UGAGGAAUAUUGGACAAUGGGGGCAACCCUGAUCCAGCCAUGCCGCGUGUGUGAAGAAGGCCUUCGGGUUGUAAAGCACUUUCAGCAGUGAGGAAAGGUGUGCGGUUAAUACCCGUAUGCUGUGACGUUAACUGCAGAAGAAGCACCGGCUAACUCCGUGCCAGCAGCCGCGGUAAU
Molecule: ribosomal RNA, 177 nt
Filed under: uncultured bacterium
Lineage: Bacteria
Description: partial 16S ribosomal RNA
Rfam family: Bacterial small subunit ribosomal RNA
Source: RNAcentral